Molecule: ribosomal RNA, 555 nt
Filed under: Bifidobacterium bifidum
Lineage: Bacteria; Bacillati; Actinomycetota; Actinomycetes; Bifidobacteriales; Bifidobacteriaceae
Description: bacterial SSU rRNA
Rfam family: Bacterial small subunit ribosomal RNA
Source: RNAcentral
UCUCCUGGAAACGGGUGGUAAUGCCGGAUGUUCCACAUGAUCGCAUGUGAUUGUGGGAAAGAUUUCAUCGGCGUGGGAUGGGGUCGCGUCCUAUCAGCUUGUUGGUGAGGUAACGGCUCACCAAGGCUUCGACGGGUAGCCGGCCUGAGAGGGCGACCGGCCACAUUGGGACUGAGAUACGGCCCAGACUCCUACGGGAGGCAGCAGUGGGGAAUAUUGCACAAUGGGCGCAAGCCUGAUGCAGCGACGCCGCGUGAGGGAUGGAGGCCUUCGGGUUGUAAACCUCUUUUGUUUGGGAGCAAGCCUUCGGGUGAGUGUACCUUUCGAAUAAGCGCCGGCUAACUACGUGCCAGCAGCCGCGGUAAUACGUAGGGCGCAAGCGUUAUCCGGAUUUAUUGGGCGUAAAGGGCUCGUAGGCGGCUCGUCGCGUCCGGUGUGAAAGUCCAUCGCUUAACGGUGGAUCUGCGCCGGGUACGGGCGGGCUGGAGUGCGGUAGGGGAGACUGGAAUUCCCGGUGUAACGGUGGAAUGUGUAGAUAUCGGAAAGAACACCAGG